RNAcentral lists this ribosomal RNA (1442 nucleotides) under Limosilactobacillus fermentum. RNAcentral describes it as "bacterial SSU rRNA". It matches the Rfam family "Bacterial small subunit ribosomal RNA". The record is from RNAcentral. Lineage: Bacteria; Bacillati; Bacillota; Bacilli; Lactobacillales; Lactobacillaceae.
CGAACGCGUUGGCCCAAUUGAUUGAUGGUGCUUGCACCUGAUUGAUUUUGGUCGCCAACGAGUGGCGGACGGGUGAGUAACACGUAGGUAACCUGCCCAGAAGCGGGGGACAACAUUUGGAAACAGAUGCUAAUACCGCAUAACANCGUUGUUCGCAUGAACAACGCUUAAAAGAUGGCUUCUCGCUAUCACUUCUGGAUGGACCUGCGGUGCAUUAGCUUGUUGGUGGGGUAACGGCCUACCAAGGCGAUGAUGCAUAGCCGAGUUGAGAGACUGAUCGGCCACAAUGGGACUGAGACACGGCCCAUACUCCUACGGGAGGCAGCAGUAGGGAAUCUUCCACAAUGGGCGCAAGCCUGAUGGAGCAACACCGCGUGAGUGAAGAAGGGUUUCGGCUCGUAAAGCUCUGUUGUUAAAGAAGAACACGUAUGAGAGUAACUGUUCAUACGUUGACGGUAUUUAACCAGAAAGUCACGGCUAACUACGUGCCAGCAGCCGCGGUAAUACGUAGGUGGCAAGCGUUAUCCGGAUUUAUUGGGCGUAAAGAGAGUGCAGGCGGUUUUCUAAGUCUGAUGUGAAAGCCUUCGGCUUAACCGGAGAAGUGCAUCGGAAACUGGAUAACUUGAGUGCAGAAGAGGGUAGUGGAACUCCAUGUGUAGCGGUGGAAUGCGUAGAUAUAUGGAAGAACACCAGUGGCGAAGGCGGCUACCUGGUCUGCAACUGACGCUGAGACUCGAAAGCAUGGGUAGCGAACAGGAUUAGAUACCCUGGUAGUCCAUGCCGUAAACGAUGAGUGCUAGGUGUUGGAGGGUUUCCGCCCUUCAGUGCCGGAGCUAACGCAUUAAGCACUCCGCCUGGGGAGUACGACCGCAAGGUUGAAACUCAAAGGAAUUGACGGGGGCCCGCACAAGCGGUGGAGCAUGUGGUUUAAUUCGAAGCUACGCGAAGAACCUUACCAGGUCUUGACAUCUUGCGCCAACCCUAGAGAUAGGGCGUUUCCUUCGGGAACGCAAUGACAGGUGGUGCAUGGUCGUCGUCAGCUCGUGUCGUGAGAUGUUGGGUUAAGUCCCGCAACGAGCGCAACCCUUGUUACUAGUUGCCAGCAUUAAGUUGGGCACUCUAGUGAGACUGCCGGUGACAAACCGGAGGAAGGUGGGGACGACGUCAGAUCAUCAUGCCCCUUAUGACCUGGGCUACACACGUGCUACAAUGGACGGUACAACGAGUCGCGAACUCGCGAGGGCAAGCAAAUCUCUUAAAACCGUUCUCAGUUCGGACUGCAGGCUGCAACUCGCCUGCACGAAGUCGGAAUCGCUAGUAAUCGCGGAUCAGCAUGCCGCGGUGAAUACGUUCCCGGGCCUUGUACACACCGCCCGUCACACCAUGAGAGUUUGUAACACCCAAAGUCGGUGGGGUAACCUUUUAGGAGCCAGCCGCCUAAG